This 476-nucleotide ribosomal RNA is filed under the name uncultured bacterium. RNAcentral's name for it is "bacterial SSU rRNA". It matches the Rfam family "Bacterial small subunit ribosomal RNA", at positions 328 to 793 of the family's 1533-position model. The record is from RNAcentral.
UCAGUCGACUCCUACGGGGAGGCAGCAGUGGGGAAUAGUUGCACAAUGGGGGAAACCCUGAUGCAGCCAUGCCGCGUGUGUGAAGAAGGCCUUCGGGUUGUAAAGCACUUUCAGUAGGGAGGAAGGUAGUGUAGUUAACAUCUGCAUUAUUUGACGUUACCUACAGAAGAAGCACCGGCUAACUCCGUGCCAGCAGCCGCGGUAAUACGGAGGGUGCGAGCGUUAAUCGGAAUUACUGGGCGUAAAGCGCAUGCAGGCGGCCUGUUAAGUCAGAUGUGAAAGCCCGGGGCUUAACCUCGGAAUUGCAUUUGAAACUGGCAGGCUAGAGUCUUGUAGAGGGGGGUAGGAAUUUCAGGUGUAGCGGUGAAAUGCGUAGAGAUCUGAAGGAAUACCAGUGGCGAAGGCGGCCCCCUGGACAAAGACUGACGCUCAGAUGCGAAAGCGUGGGGAGCAAACAGGAUUAGAUACCCUGGUAG